RNAcentral lists this long non-coding RNA (615 nucleotides) under Phoenix dactylifera (date palm). RNAcentral's name for it is "long non-coding RNA (PDAC_LNC020591)". The record is from RNAcentral. Lineage: Eukaryota; Viridiplantae; Streptophyta; Magnoliopsida; Arecales; Arecaceae.
AUGGAAGAAGUUACGAGAAGCUGUCAAAGCCUCAGGCAUCUUUAGCUUGCCGGAGUUCCCAUCUGAAACUUGCAAGUUCACCGGAGAGAAGGCUGAAACUCUUCCUGGUAUGUUAUUGUAGUUUUUAAAACUUACCUAUUUCUCAUGUUCAAAAUUGGAAGUGCAAGUUAGAUUAGACUUUGAUAAAUAUUUCGUAAGCUAGUUUGCUUCUGCUUCGCUCUACGUACCAGUCGCUUUGGUUUCAUCAAUAUAUGAGAUCCUAUUUAUAUACACCAUCAUCUCCUUAUGAAUACGUUGAUUUUUCACUAUUUAAAAUAUAAUUACCUAAAAUUUUAGCACACAUAUCGAAGGAGUACAGCAUACUCGAUCUCUAUCUCAGCUUAAUUACUCUUGUCAUGUUUUAAAUACCAUGUUUAGGUUAUUAUCAUGAAUAGAAUAAUUGUUCAGGUGUUCUUUCUAUGAAAAUUCCUUGAUUAACUUGUUGACUUUAGAAGAAAACUAUCUAUGACUAGUCUAAGUUGCUAGUUUAUUUGAUAGAAGUAACAUCAAUUUCAGCUUCUUAUAUUUGACUUAAGUUUCUCUAUUCUUCUUCAUUUUUUUUAAUCCUUUUGUUCU